UGCCUCUUAUUGUUAUUUUCCCAGGACGAGUACGAACACACUUCAACCACCUCCUACCACCCUCUUGCCCACCGUUCUCUUUGCCCACCAUUCUCUUGCCCACCGUCCUCUUGCCCACCAUCAUCACUCUUUACCCACCAUCACCUCUUGCCCACACAGCCCCACUCUUGCCCACCGUCAUGAGGGGGCUGGUGCAGUACGUGACACUAGGGGUGUGUUGGAACAUGGUGGGCAAACUUCAUGACAGCAGCCUGCCCCUCGCCAUGGCCCACUUGCCCACCCCGGGAGAGAGUGACCAGCAGUACCUCAAGAGUUACCUGACCAGGAUGGAGAGCCGGAAUAUGGUCUCUCACAACUUACAGGGCCGCGACGUGCCCAUUGCCCUCACCAACUACCCACCGUUCCUGCACAUCAUUAGGGAGAGAGGAGGCAACAAGGUGAUGGGCAGAGGCAUGAGCUGGGAGCUAAUGAUGACUCUGGCCAACUACUUCAACUUCACCCCCGUCCCUCUGGUGGCCGAGGAUGACGUUAUCGGCCUCAGGAGUGAGAGUGGGGAGUGGAAGGGCGCAAUGCAACUCCUGGAUAGUAAGGUGGCUGAGCUGACCCUGCUACCUGUGACCAUCACCGCAGCACGGGAGGAGGUUCUCGACUUCUCCCUCCUGCUGGGGACAACCACCUUCGGUAUCCUGGCCAAGAGACCGAAGGAUUCCCCUAAGCCAGACGCCCUCCUGAAACCCUUCAGUCUUGAGGUGUGGUGGUUGAUCCUGGCGGCCACAGCGGUGAUGGGGCCCCUCAUCUAUUUCAUCAUCGUGGUCAGGGUGAGGCUGUGUAAGGGUGACCCCAGACUGACCCGGGUCUUCCCUUGACCAGUGUGUUUGGUUCGUGUACGGCGCCAUGAUGAAACAGGGCAGUAUGCUGAAGCCCAUCUCCGACUCUUCACGUAUUCUCAUCGCUACGUGGUGGUUAUUCAUCAUGAUCGUCACGUCAUUCUACACGGCCAACUUGACAGCGUUCCUCACGUUCAAUGGCCUCAAGUUGCCUAUAGAGAAGGUGGAAGAUCUCGAGAACUUACCUGGCGUGUCCUGGCUGGCCUUCCGGGAUGGUGCCCUUGUCGAAGUCAUCACGACUCACCCUAAGUUAAAGGUCUUGAGGGAUCUUCAGGCUAAGGGCCGGGGCAGGUUCAUCAACUCACGGGCGGAGGCUGUAGCUCUGGUGAGGACGAACGAAUACGUAUACAUAGACGACAUGCAAGUCCUCGAGUACCUUAUACAGGAAGACUUCAAGACACAGAGGAGGAAGGAGGCGAACGAGACCUGCAGCUUCUACACCACCACCCUCACCUCCGAUAAGGGCUUCACCUUCUGGUAUGGUUACGGCUUCAGGAAAGACAGCGAGUACUCUGAUCUCUUCAACGGCUUUUUCCGCCGAUUAUCCUUCUUCGGGAUCCUGAACUUCCUACACGACAACGUCACCUCCAACAGCCCAGUGUGUACCCUACCUAAGGGCUUUAAGGAUCGUCGCCUCCAGAACAAGGACUUCUACACCACUUACGUCCUGGGCUCGGCGGGCGUCCUGGCUGCUCUUACUGCCCUUAUCUGCGAGUUUGUCUGCCGGAAGAGCAGGAGGACCGGACGUAACAUGACUCCUCCCACUACGACGUUUACGGGAAGGAUGGGCUCGACUCUCGGCUUCGGCGGGUCCUCCCAGGGCGUCCAGGACCUCAACUGGAGCAGCAACCUUCCUCCAUUACCCAGCAUGAGACCGAGGACGCCCUUCGAGGUGAGAUAUCCGCACUACAACAACAGGAUGAGCUCCUCUAACACCCCCGCCGACGGGAGGAACUCGAAAAAUGUCCAAAUGACCAUCUCGGCGAGGCAGCAGCAGCAGCACCAGCAGCAGCAGCAGCAGCAGCGACCACGGCGGGAGAAACAACACUCUCACAGGACGGGGAACAUGUUUCUCGAGACUCAAAGAAGUCCUUAUAUUAUUGAAGUCGUUUGGUGAAGGAGAGUUCUCGCGGCCACGAUGAGACGAAAGGAUCUUGAGGAAUUCCUGAGCCUUCGCCCAGCAAUUGAAGGAUUUCAAGCACUUAAGGACUCCCAAGACCGCCGCCUAAGGAUUCCCAAGACCGCAGCCUAAGGAUUCCCAAGACCGCAGCCUAAGGAUUCCCAAGACCGCAGCCUAAGGACUCCCAUGACCGCAGCCUAAGGAUUCCCAAGAC
Molecule: unclassified non-coding RNA, 2221 nt
Filed under: Homarus americanus (American lobster)
Lineage: Eukaryota; Metazoa; Arthropoda; Malacostraca; Decapoda; Nephropidae
Description: glutamate receptor ionotropic, kainate 2-like, transcript variant X3
Source: RNAcentral